This 72-nucleotide transfer RNA is filed under the name Cavia porcellus (domestic guinea pig). It matches the Rfam family "tRNA". Rfam says of the family: Transfer RNA (tRNA) molecules are approximately 80 nucleotides in length. The record is from Rfam by way of RNAcentral. Lineage: Eukaryota; Metazoa; Chordata; Mammalia; Rodentia; Caviidae.
GGAGAUAUAGCUCAGUGGUAAACUACCUGCCUAGCAUGCACAAGGCCCUUGGUUCAAUUCCUAGUAACUCCC